AUGGCUGUCGUCAGCUCGUGUCGUGAGAUGUUCGGGUUAAGUCCCGCAACGAGCGCAACCCUUGCCUUUAGUUGCCAGCAGUUCGGCUGGGCACUCUAAAGGGACUGCCGGUGUUAAACCGGAGGAAAGGUGGGGAUGACGUCAAGUCCUCAUGGCCUUUAUGACCAGGGCUACACACGUACUACAAUGGCCGAUACAAAGGGCAGCGACACUGCGAGGUGAAGCCAAUCCCGUAAAAUCGGUCUCAGUCCGGAUUGGAGUCUGCAACUCGACUCCAUGAAGUUGGAAUCGCUAGUAAUCGUGGAUCAGCAUGCCACGGUGAAUACGUUCCCGGGCCUU
RNAcentral lists this ribosomal RNA (339 nucleotides) under uncultured Desulfobulbus sp. RNAcentral describes it as "bacterial SSU rRNA". It matches the Rfam family "Bacterial small subunit ribosomal RNA", at positions 1045 to 1382 of the family's 1533-position model. Lineage: Bacteria; Pseudomonadati; Thermodesulfobacteriota; Desulfobulbia; Desulfobulbales; Desulfobulbaceae. The record is from RNAcentral.